RNAcentral lists this transfer-messenger RNA (377 nucleotides) under Cytophagales. RNAcentral's name for it is "Leadbetterella sp002483125 Standard tmRNA". It matches the Rfam family "transfer-messenger RNA". From Rfam's summary of the family: Bacterial tmRNA, also known as 10Sa RNA or SsrA, is named for its dual tRNA and mRNA-like properties. Lineage: Bacteria; Pseudomonadati; Bacteroidota; Cytophagia. RNAcentral also lists the same sequence under 1 other name. The record is from RNAcentral.
GGGGGCGACUGGUUUUGACGGCGUGAUGCGGCUGCAGGUAUAAGCAUGUAUGGAGUUGGUGGAAGGUCUCCAUUCAAAAAAUCUACCGAACAACAACUGGCAAUACUCAGUAUGCCAUGGCUGCUUAAUUUCGGAGUAAAUUAGCAUUCGCCACGUUCCUCCAAAGCUAACCUCUGUUGCGUUGGGUUUAGGGGCGUCGUAAAUAGAGAGGCGUUCAGAGACGGACUUCUGAUCUCAGAAUAGUACACGAGAAGAUAAGGGAUUGUUUAGGUAUGCCAAACGGCUUGCAAUCUUCGAAAACUAUGAUUGGCUAAACAUGUAGAAGGCCUGACGGUGGCCAUGUUCGGACCAGGGUUCGAAUCCCUGCGUCUCCACUG